UACGUAGGGUGCAAGCGUUAAUCGGAAUUACUGGGCGUAAAGCGUGCGCAGGCGGUUUUGCAAGUCAGAUGUGAAAUCCCCGGGCUCAACCUGGGAACUGCAUUUGUGACUGCACGGCUGGAGUGCGGCAGAGGGGGAUGGAAUUCCGCGUGUAGCAGUGAAAUGCGUAGAUAUGCGGAGGAACACCGAUGGCGAAGGCAAUCCCCUGGGCCUGCACUGACGCUCAUGCACGAAAGCGUGGGGAGCAAACAGG
This 253-nucleotide ribosomal RNA is filed under the name uncultured bacterium. RNAcentral's name for it is "partial 16S ribosomal RNA". It matches the Rfam family "Bacterial small subunit ribosomal RNA", at positions 524 to 776 of the family's 1533-position model. The record is from RNAcentral.